AUUCUGUACACAGGAAACCUGAGGCACUCUGACUUUGACUAGUUUCUACUAAUGGGUGUUGGAAGCUGGGUCACCAGUUUUGGCAUGGACCUUACCUAACAGAAUUGCCUUUGCCCCCUGGAAAUUGUUUGAGCAUCCUGAGUGUGGGGAUUCAAAUGUGUGGCCCAAUACCUUACUGCAUGCCGGAGAGCCUCCAGUGUCAUCAAAAGUCACUGGAAGAUGCUUGUUCUCUCCCUCAUGCCUGUGGUACCAACCCUCUGCCAGAUCUGUGCAGCUCUUCUUACU
Non-coding RNA from Phalacrocorax carbo (great cormorant), 285 nucleotides. NCBI's taxonomy places the organism in Eukaryota, Metazoa, Chordata, Aves, Suliformes, Phalacrocoracidae. The record is from RefSeq and is a predicted model, not a curated record.